UACGUAGGGGGCUAGCGUUAUCCGGAAUUACUGGGCGUAAAGGGUGCGUAGGUGGUUUCUUAAGUCAGAGGUGAAAGGCUACGGCUCAACCGUAGUAAGCCUUUGAAACUGGGAAACUUGAGUGCAGGAGAGGAGAGUGGAAUUCCUAGUGUAGCGGUGAAAUGCGUAGAUAUUAGGAGGAACACCAGUUGCGAAGGCGGCUCUCUGGACUGUAACUGACACUGAGGCACGAAAGCGUGGGGAGCAAACAGGAUUAGAUACCCUGGUAGUCCCUGAGCGGG
Molecule: ribosomal RNA, 281 nt
Filed under: uncultured prokaryote
Description: partial 16S ribosomal RNA
Rfam family: Bacterial small subunit ribosomal RNA
Source: RNAcentral